GAGGCUAAUACCGGAUAUUGUCCCAGGGACCGUGGUCCUUGUGAUGAAAGGUGACCUCUUCAAGAAAGUUGUCGUUCAGGGAGGGGCCCGCGUACCAUUAGCUAGUUGGUAGGGUAAUGGCCUACCAAGGCGAUGAUGGUUAGCUGGUCUGAGAGGAUGACCAGCCACACUGGCACUGAAACACGGGCCAGACUCCUACGGGAGGCAGCAGUGAGGAAUCUUGCGCAAUAGGGGAAACCCUGACGCAGCAACGCCGCGUGAGUGAAGAAGGCCUUCGGGUCGUAAAGCUCUGUCAAGUGGGAAAAAAGCUUACUGGUGAAUAGCCAGGAAGCCUGAUGGUACCAUUAAAGGAAGCACCGGCUAACUCCGUGCCAGCAGCCCGCGGUAAUACGGAGGGUGCAAGCGUUGUUCGGAAUUACUGGGCGUAAAGGGCGUGUAGGCGGUGUGGUAAAGUCAAAAUGUGAAA
RNAcentral lists this ribosomal RNA (466 nucleotides) under uncultured bacterium. RNAcentral's name for it is "bacterial SSU rRNA". It matches the Rfam family "Bacterial small subunit ribosomal RNA", at positions 159 to 599 of the family's 1533-position model. The record is from RNAcentral.